GUGACUGCGUACCUUUUGUAUAAUGGGUCAGCGACUUAUAUUCUGUAGCAAGGUUAACCGUAUAGGGGAGCCGGAGGGAAACCGAGUCUUAACCGGGCGUUAAGUUGCAGGGUAUAGACCCGAAACCCGGUGAUCUAGCCAUGGGCAGGUUGAAGGUUGGGUAACACUAACUGGAGGACCGAACCGACUAAUGUUGAAAAAGACGAAG
Molecule: ribosomal RNA, 208 nt
Filed under: Salmonella enterica subsp. enterica serovar Derby
Lineage: Bacteria; Pseudomonadati; Pseudomonadota; Gammaproteobacteria; Enterobacterales; Enterobacteriaceae
Description: partial 23S ribosomal RNA
Rfam family: Bacterial large subunit ribosomal RNA
Source: RNAcentral